Molecule: ribosomal RNA, 299 nt
Filed under: uncultured soil bacterium
Lineage: Bacteria
Description: partial 16S ribosomal RNA
Rfam family: Bacterial small subunit ribosomal RNA
Source: RNAcentral
AGAGCGAACGCUGGCGGCAGGCCUAGCACAUGCAAGUCGAACGAACUCUUCGGAGUUAGUGGCGGACGGGUGAGUAACACGUGGGAACGUGCCUUUUGGUUCGGAAUAGCUCCUGGAAACGGGUGGUAAUGCCGAAUGUGCCCUUCGGGGGAAAGAUUUAUCGCCAUUAGAGCGGCCCGCGUCUGAUUAGCUAGUUGGUGAGGUAAAGGCUCACCAAGGCUACGAUCAGUAGCUGGUCUGAGAGGAUGACCAGCCACAUUGGGACUGAGACACGGCCCAAACUCCUACGGGAGGCAGCA